Molecule: transfer RNA, 72 nt
Filed under: Camelus bactrianus (Bactrian camel)
Lineage: Eukaryota; Metazoa; Chordata; Mammalia; Artiodactyla; Camelidae
Also listed under: 3 other names
Rfam family: tRNA
About the family: Transfer RNA (tRNA) molecules are approximately 80 nucleotides in length. Their secondary structure includes four short double-helical elements and three loops (D, anti-codon, and T loops).
Source: Rfam by way of RNAcentral
GAGGGUGUAGCUCAGUGGUAGAGUGCAUGCUUAGCAUUCAUGAGGUCCUGGGUUCAAUUCCCAGUACCUCCA